UAAUACGUAGGGUGCGAGCGUUAAUCGGAAUUACUGGGCGUAAAGCGUGCGCAGGCGGUUCCAUAAGACAGAUGUGAAAUCCCCGGGCUUAACCUGGGAACUGCGUUUGUGACUGUGGGACUCGAGUGUGGCAGAGGGGGGUGGAAUUCCACGUGUAGCAGUGAAAUGCGUAGAGAUGUGGAGGAACACCGAUGGCGAAGGCAGCCCCCUGGGUCAACACUGACGCUCAUGCACGAAAGCGUGGGGAGCAAACAGG
RNAcentral lists this ribosomal RNA (256 nucleotides) under uncultured bacterium. RNAcentral's name for it is "partial 16S ribosomal RNA". It matches the Rfam family "Bacterial small subunit ribosomal RNA", at positions 521 to 776 of the family's 1533-position model. The record is from RNAcentral.